AACAAAAAUCUUCAGGCAGAAUCUCCACAGUAGCAACCAAAAUACAACAAAAUACCCCGACAGAAUCCCACAAGUGGAGUGCGCAGAGGAUAGAGUGUACGUAGACCAUAUAUAUAUAUAUAUAUAUAUAUAUAUAUAUAUAUAUAUUUUCAUCUCUUCAGCUAUAAUCUGAUGGACCCACAGACACCCUAAAGUCUCUUUCAAAGUUUCAUCUCCAAUAUUUUCAUUCUU
RNAcentral lists this long non-coding RNA (231 nucleotides) under Solanum lycopersicum (tomato). RNAcentral describes it as "partial TCONS_00143308". The record is from RNAcentral. Lineage: Eukaryota; Viridiplantae; Streptophyta; Magnoliopsida; Solanales; Solanaceae.